Molecule: ribosomal RNA, 460 nt
Filed under: uncultured bacterium
Lineage: Bacteria
Description: partial 16S ribosomal RNA
Rfam family: Bacterial small subunit ribosomal RNA
Source: RNAcentral
CCUACGGGAGGCUGCAGUGAGGAAUAUUGGUCAAUGGACGAGAGUCUGAACCAGCCAAGUAGCGUGAAGGAUGACUGCCCUAUGGGUUGUAAACUUCUUUUAUAAAGGAAUAAAACGAGGCACGUGUGCCUUUUUGCAUUGACUUUAUUCAUAAGGAUCGGCUCACUCCGUUCCAGCAGCCGAGGUAAUACGGAGGAUCCGAGCGUUACCCGGAUUUGUUGGGUUUAAAGGGAGCGUAGAUGGGUUGUUAAGUCAGUUGUGAAAGUUUGCGGCUCAACCGUAAAAUUGCAAUUGAUACUGGCAGUCUUGAGUACAGUUGAGGUAGGCGGAAUUCGUGGUGUAGCGGUGAAAUGCUUAGAUAUCACGAAGAACCCCGAUUGCGAAGGCAGCUUACUAAACUGUGACUGACAUUGAUGCUCGAAAGUGUGGGUAUCAAACAGGAUUAGAUACCCCUGUAGUC